Molecule: ribosomal RNA, 253 nt
Filed under: uncultured bacterium
Lineage: Bacteria
Description: partial 16S ribosomal RNA
Rfam family: Bacterial small subunit ribosomal RNA
Source: RNAcentral
UACGGAGGGUGCAAGCGUUGUUCGGAAUUAUUGGGCGUAAAGGGCGUGUAGGCGGUCUCGUAAGUCUGAUGUGAAAGCCCCGGGCUCAACCUGGGAAUUGCAUUCGAGACUGAAUAGCUAGGGUACGGUAGAGGGAAGCGGAAUUUCCGGUGUAGCGGUGAAAUGCGUAGAUAUCGGAAGGAACAUCAGUGGCGAAAGCGACUUCCUGGACCAAUACUGACGCUCAUGUGCGAAAGCGUGGGGAGCAAACAGG